RNAcentral lists this transfer RNA (73 nucleotides) under Agathobacter rectalis. RNAcentral describes it as "[Eubacterium] rectale tRNA-Lys". It matches the Rfam family "tRNA". From Rfam's summary of the family: Transfer RNA (tRNA) molecules are approximately 80 nucleotides in length. Their secondary structure includes four short double-helical elements and three loops (D, anti-codon, and T loops). Lineage: Bacteria; Bacillati; Bacillota; Clostridia; Lachnospirales; Lachnospiraceae. The record is from RNAcentral.
GGGGUAUUAGCUCAGGGGGUAGAGCACUUGACUUUUAAUCAAGUUGUCCGGGGUUCGAAUCCCCGAUGUCUCA